GACGAACGCUGGCGGCGUGCUUAACACAUGCAAGUCGAACGGACAGGCCCUGCUUUUGUGGGGUGCUCGAGUGGCGAACGGGUGAGUAACACGUGAGUAACCUGCCCUUGACUUUGGGAUAACUUCAGGAAACUGGGGCUAAUACCGGAUAGGAGCUCCUGCUGCACGGUGGGGGUUGGAAAGUUUCGGCGGUUGGGGAUGGACUCGCGGGUUAUCAGCUUGUUGGUGGGGUAGUGGCUUACCAAGGCUUUGACGGGUAGCCGGCCUGGGAGGGUGACCGGCCACAUUGGGACUGAGAUACGGCGCAGACUCCUACGGGAGGCAGCAGUGGGGAAUAUUGCACAAUGGGCGGAAGCCUGAUGCAGCAACGCCGCGUGCGGGAUGACGGCCUUCGGGUUGUAAACCGCUUUCGCCUGUGACGAAGCGUGAGUGACGGUAAUGGGUAAAGAAGCACCGGCUAACUACGUG
This 468-nucleotide ribosomal RNA is filed under the name uncultured bacterium. RNAcentral describes it as "partial 16S ribosomal RNA". It matches the Rfam family "Bacterial small subunit ribosomal RNA", at positions 28 to 507 of the family's 1533-position model. The record is from RNAcentral.